Molecule: ribosomal RNA, 505 nt
Filed under: uncultured bacterium
Lineage: Bacteria
Description: partial 16S ribosomal RNA
Rfam family: Bacterial small subunit ribosomal RNA
Source: RNAcentral
GACGAACGCUGGCGGCGUGCCUAAUACAUGCAAGUAGAACGCACAGUUUAUACCGUAGCUUGCUACACCAUAAACUGUGAGUUGCGAACGGGUGAGUAACGCGUAGGUAACCUGCCUGGUAGCGGGGGAUAACUAUUGGAAACGAUAGCUAAUACCGCAUAAUAUUAAUUAUUGCAUGAUAAUUGAUUGAAAGAUGCAAUUGCAUCACUACCAGAUGGACCUGCGUUGUAUUAGCUAGUAGGUGAGGUAACGGCUCACCUAGGCGACGAUACAUAGCCGACCUGAGAGGGUGAUCGGCCACACUGGGACUGAGACACGGCCCAGACUCCUACGGGAGGCAGCAGUAGGGAAUCUUCGGCAAGGGACGAAAGUCUGACCGAGCAACGCCGCGUGAGUGAAGAAGGUUGUCGGAUCGUAAAGCUCUGUUGUAAGAGAAGAACGGGUGUGAGAGUGGAAAGUUCACACUGUGACGGUAUCUUACCAGAAAGGGACGGCUAACUACGUG